UACGUAGGGUGCAAGCGUUGUCCGGAAUUAUUGGGCGUAAAGAGCUCGUAGGCGGCUUGUCGCGUCGGCUGUGAAAACCUGGGGCUCAAUUCCGGGCUUGCAGUUGAUACGGGCAAGCUAGAAUUCGGUAGGGGAGAUUGGAAUUCCUGGUGUAGCGGUGAAAUGCGCAGAUAUCAGGAGGAACACCGGUGGCGAAGGCGGGUCUCUGGGCCGUAACUGACGCUGAGGAGCGAAAGCGUGGGGAGCGAACAGG
This 253-nucleotide ribosomal RNA is filed under the name uncultured bacterium. Its description in RNAcentral is "partial 16S ribosomal RNA". It matches the Rfam family "Bacterial small subunit ribosomal RNA", at positions 524 to 776 of the family's 1533-position model. The record is from RNAcentral.